Long non-coding RNA from Homo sapiens (human), 1127 nucleotides. RefSeq annotates it as RCCD1 and UNC45A antisense RNA 1. The transcript has 2 exons. The record is from RefSeq and is marked validated. Lineage: Eukaryota; Metazoa; Chordata; Mammalia; Primates; Hominidae.
CACUCUGCUCUUUUUUUUUUUUUUUUUUUUUUUUUGGUAUUUUUAUAGAGAAAGAGUUUUGCUUGUUGCCCAGGCUGGUCUCGAACCCCUGACUUCAAGUGAUCCACCUGCCUCAGCCUCCCAAAGCGCUGGGAUUACAAGCUUGAGGCACCGCACCUGCACCAGCAGCUUCAGUCGGUCAUUGCCCUGGGCUUCGAAGAGGUCCUGCACCUGUGGCCAGAUGUGAGGAGUGGACCAAGUCAGUUGGGUGUAAAGCCCAGCCAGGGCACAGGUACCUCUGCAUCCCCGCCUGUCAUGAGCACCCAGACCAACCCUCACCUCCUUGCUCAUGGCCAAGUUACACAUGCACUCCGUGGCUGCCCGGCGGAUCAUCUCAUGCUCCUCAAACAUGUAGCCUUCUAUCAUGGGCACAGCCUUCUCCUUCAGGAUCUUCUGCCUGCAGGGCCACAGGAGGAAGCAGCAGGGAUACGGUUUGGAUGUUUUCCCUUCUAACCCUCAUGUUGAACUAUAAUCCCCAAUGUUGGAGGUAGGGCCUGGUGGGAGGUGACUGGGUCAUGGGAUGGGUCCCUCAUGGCUUGGUGCUAUCCUCGUGAUAGUAAGUUCUCGUGAGAUCUGGUUAUUUAAAAGUGCGUGGCAUCUCGGCCGGGCGUGGAGGCUCACGCCUGUAAUCCCAGCACUCUGGAAGGCCGAGGCAGGCAGAUGACUUGAGGUCAAGAGUUCGAGACCAGCCUGGCCAACAUGGUGAAACCUUGUCUCUACUAAAAAGACAAAAAAAAAUUAGCUGGGUAUGCUGGUGCGCGCCUGUAGUCCCAGCUACUCAGGGAGGCUGAGGCAGGAGAAGCGAUUGAACCCAGGAGGUGAAGGUUGCAGUGAGCCAAGAUUGCGCCACUGCACUCCAGCCUGGGCAACAGAGGGAGACUCCAUUUCAAAAAAAAAAAAAGUGUGUGGCACCUCCCCCGACUGUCUCUUGCUCCUACUUUCACCAUGUGAUGUGCCUGCUCCUGCUUUGCCUUCUACUAUGAGUAAAAGCUCUCUGAGGCCUCCCCAGAAGCUGAGCAAAUGCCAAUGCCAUGCUUACACAGCCUGUAGAGCCAGGAAGCAAUUAAAUCUCUUUUCUUUAUAAAUUA